This is a long non-coding RNA of Oncorhynchus tshawytscha (Chinook salmon), 2635 nucleotides long. The record is from Ensembl. Lineage: Eukaryota; Metazoa; Chordata; Actinopteri; Salmoniformes; Salmonidae.
UUUCUCACCUUUUUUGUCACCUUACAGAACUGUUUCGGUUUCGUUUCAUUAUCUUUGUUAUUUUGUUUAGUGUUCUGAGUUUAAAUUAAUAUGAACACUUACCACGCUGCGAUUUGGUCCUCCUCUCCUUCCACCAACAAUGGCUGUUACAAAUAUAUGAUUACAUAAAUCAAUAUUUUGUCACAUAUAUGCCGGGAGUCAGGAAGCAAAUGCAGAAGAGCCCUUGUACUGCACAACGAGGAUGAGGAAGUGAAUUGCUGGUUGGGGCAGCAGCUGAUGUGACUGAGAAAGGAGGUGGGCUGAACACUGUCUCAAGGAAAAAAAUCCUCAUUGGAGAGGACCAUAUCAGGUUUUAUUGACCACCCGACUGAGGUAAAGGUAGCUGAGAGGGACACCUGGAUUCACGUCUCACACUGCAGACGAGUUCCUGCCCCUGAGGAGGAUGGCAGGAGUCCCAUCCCUAGGCUGUCUGGCCUUGCUGUCUGGAUCUGCACCAUUGUGUUGAUUGGAACAGUUGGUUGCCCUCCAGUGGGUGACCAUUCAGGUGAAGAUGAAAGUACUGAGCCAAAGGAACCACCACACACCCGGAGUAGUGGUCCAGAAGGAGAAGUCAGCCGAAGGAAAUGAGAAGUACAAAUUCAAGAUGAGGGAGGGAAUCUGUUUCUCUCUCAAGCUGAAAUGGUGGGAAAUGUCACCUCAUAUAAGACUUAUUGUUGGGUAUGUGGGUUGGGUCCUGUGGGAGUAGGUAAGGGGUUGUAGGGGUUCCCUUGGGGGUGAACUUAACUAUUCAACUGUCCUCAAUAUUGUCAUUGGCCAAUUUCCCCCCAAAGAAUCCCGACCCCAUUACUUAUUUUGCGAUGUACAAGGCUGUUGUCAGCCUUGUAUAUCCUAGACCAAACAAUUACAGUGGCCCACCCAUCCCUAUAGUAGGAUCCCUGGUAGCCCCCUGGUGUAUUACAGGAAAUGGAAGUAACCAUUUGGGUGAAAUUCUUUGUAACUGUACUACGUUGGUUAAUGGUAGCAAUAACUGCUCUCUUGUGGUACAUGAUUCUGUUACAGAAACACCAGGAAAUGUGAAUUAUACAACUUCUGUUUACAAUAAGUAUAUUGCAAGGAGGCCCAAAUGGUAGCUAUUGAUUGUGUGGCCGAUUUUCUUAUUAUAGUUUACCACCUAAUUUGGGAGGGAAGUGUAUUGUUGGGUUUGUGGUGCCGGCCAUGAGAGUCCUUGGAAAAACUGCAACAGAAUUGAGGGUUCUGUUCAGAGAAUAUCAUCAGCUGACCCCUCGUUUUAAUAAGCGAUCCUUUGCAGAUGCCACUCAGGUGCAAACCUCCUCCCGAUUCGCUGGUGUUUAGCUGCCCCAAAAUGGAGUUGCAUGUGCCUUGGGGCAACAGGGUAGCCUAGUGGUUAGAGUGUUGGACUAGUAGCUGAAAGGUUGCAAGUUCAAAUCCCCGAGCUGACAAGGUACAAAUCUGUCGUUCUCCCCCUGAACAGGCAGUUAACCCACUGUUCCUAGGCUGUCAUUGAAAAUAAGAAUUUGUUCUUAACUGACUUGCCUAGUUAAAUAAAGGUAAAAUAAAAACUUUUUUUUAAAAAAGAUCAAAUUCGAAAUUUUACUAUUCAAGUUGAGAAAACGGAAAAUGCUACUAGAGACGAUUUGAUUGCUCUGAACGAGGAAGUGAAAGCACUCAGCAAGGUCGCCCUAAAAAACAGGGAGGCACUUAACUACUUAUUGGCUGGUCAAGGAGGUACUGGCGAUAAAUGCUGUACUUUUGUCCCAGAUAUGUCAUCAAAUGUGACUGAUCUUGCUAAGUACAUUGCCACUGUUGAAAAGUCUCAUUCUGGGAAAUUAGAGUGGGUCUUUACUGGUUGGCUGGAAGGCCUCUUUGAAGCUUGGGGCUCCCAGAUAGCUCAGUGGGUGAUAGCUGGAAUAUUUUGUUUAAUGUGUUUAACCAUUUUGCUUUGUUGUUGUAAGGCCAUUUGUGCUUCCCUGGCAACUCAAGUCUCAGCAACUAUCAUGUACUAAGGAAUGUGAUACUGAUAACUUGCUGUCUCUCCAGAAACUCCCAUUUCCCUCUAUAAUGGAUGAUAAUAUGCAAUAAUUAGUUAGUAUCCAUGCUUGAUUAAGUACCUGAAGGUUUUAAGUUAGGUUGUUAAACGACAGCAACCUUCUAAUGUAAAGGGUAAUGGAAAAAGGAUCAAAUAUGAAGAUGGAUUUUUGUCUAUUGUUAUGCCUAUUACAUGUAAGAAUCAGUUUUUACUAAAUGCACUCCUGAUGAUAGGCUGAAUGUUUGUUAAGAAGUCAAAGAAAAAUGUGUUAUCACAUAUUUGGAUAAAAGGAGGGAGUGUAGUGGAAAUGUUUUGUGUCCUCUGUGUGUCUCCAAAAUGUGUGACUACAUAUAGUGUAUUGUUUCUUGUUUUUGUGUUAGGAUGUUCUGUGACUGCUCUCAGGGAGGGGACUGAUAGGAGAACAGAAGGAAUGGAAUACAUAGUUUCUAGGUGUUGGGCCAAAGUAACAAUGUGUGCAAGGUCAUGAUCAGUUUGAGCAUGAGCAUAAAGACUGCUGAAGGGAGAACAUCCCUUCAGAGCUUCUGACAGACGUAUACAUUGAGUAUUAAGUUUGCUGUAACCUCUCCC